This 22-nucleotide non-coding RNA is filed under the name Mus musculus (house mouse). Lineage: Eukaryota; Metazoa; Chordata; Mammalia; Rodentia; Muridae. The record is from RNAcentral.
UCAGUCUCAAGGCAGAGAACUU